AGAGAGGGGCAGUCGGUCUGUACAUGCGUGAGGUGGCGAGAGGCGUGUCCAGGGGGCGGCUAGUAGCGUGUGCCACCGUGGAAAUAUGUACAGACAUAAAGAAGACGCCCUCAAGAAAGGCCUGAGUCCAGACCGAGACCCAGAGAAAUGUAAACAAACGCACCAGUCAGACUUGAUAUAGGAGUGAAUUUGUUGCUUUUUAAAGCGGCAGUCGGUCUGUACAUGUGUGAGGUGGCGAGGGGUGUCGCCAGGGGGCGGCUAGUAGCGUCUGCCACCAGGGAAAUAUGUAAAAACAUAAAAAAGACGCUUCUCAAGAAAGAGAGGGGCAGUCGGUCUGUACAUGCGUGAGGUGGCGAGAGGCGUGUCCAGGGGGCGGCUAGUAGCGUGUGCCACCGUGGAAAUAUGUACAGACAUAAAGAAGACGCCCUCAAGAAAGGCCUGAGUCCAGACCGAGACACAGAGAAAUGUAAACAAACGCACCAGUCAGACUUGAUAUAGGAGUGAAUUUGUUGCUUUUUAAAGCGGCAGUCGGUCUGUACAUGUGUGAGGUGGCGAGGGGUGUCGCCAGGGGGCGGCUAGUAGCGUCUGCCACCAGGGAAAUAUGUAAAAACAUAAAAAAGACGCUUCUCAAGAAAGGUAAGGCCGGUUGCAGCUUUUAUUUUUUCUUUAUUUCUUUCCAUCAGGUUAGUUUUAUAUUAAUUCAGUUAGUUAGGUUUGGUUAAGUCUCUCUCUCUCUCUCU
Molecule: long non-coding RNA, 740 nt
Organism: Scylla paramamosain (green mud crab)
Lineage: Eukaryota; Metazoa; Arthropoda; Malacostraca; Decapoda; Portunidae
Exons: 4
Source: RefSeq, a predicted model, not a curated record